RNAcentral lists this transfer RNA (73 nucleotides) under archaeon. RNAcentral's name for it is "tRNA-Lys". It matches the Rfam family "tRNA". From Rfam's summary of the family: Transfer RNA (tRNA) molecules are approximately 80 nucleotides in length. Their secondary structure includes four short double-helical elements and three loops (D, anti-codon, and T loops). Further hydrogen bonds mediate the characteristic L-shaped molecular structure. tRNAs have two regions of fundamental functional importance: the anti-codon, which is responsible for specific mRNA codon recognition, and the 3' end, to which the tRNAs corresponding amino acid is attached (by aminoacyl-tRNA synthetases). tRNAs cope with the degeneracy of the genetic code in two manners: having more than one tRNA (with a specific anti-codon) for a particular amino acid; and 'wobble' base-pairing, i.e. permitting non-standard base-pairing at the 3rd anti-codon position. The record is from RNAcentral.
GCCGUCCUAGCUCAGUCGGUAGAGCGUCAGGCUCUUAACCUGAUGGUCGGGGGUUCGAGCCCCCCGGUCGGUG